ACGUAGGGGGCGAGCGUUGUCCGGAAUUACUGGGCGUAAAGAGCACGUAGGCGGGAACCUAAGUCAGGUGUGAAAGACCGUGGCUCAACCACGGGGUGGCAUUUGAAACUGGGUUUCUUGAGGGCAGGAGAGGAAAGCAGAAUUCCUGGUGUAGCGGUGAAAUGCGUAGAAAUCAGGAGGAAUACCAGUGGCGAAGGCGGCUUUCUGGACUGACCCUGACGCUGAGGUGCGAAAGCGUGGGUAGCAAACAG
RNAcentral lists this ribosomal RNA (251 nucleotides) under uncultured bacterium. Its description in RNAcentral is "partial 16S ribosomal RNA". It matches the Rfam family "Bacterial small subunit ribosomal RNA", at positions 525 to 775 of the family's 1533-position model. The record is from RNAcentral.